AUAAUGAUACUUCUGCAUAGUCAUAGUCCGAGCGUUAAAAGCGUCGCAGGCAUUGAGUGCAGUUCGGGCGGUGCCGGAAAGGUGAAAUUCCUAUG
Molecule: non-coding RNA, 95 nt
Filed under: human gut metagenome
Description: pemK RNA
Rfam family: pemK RNA
Source: RNAcentral